Molecule: ribosomal RNA, 965 nt
Filed under: uncultured bacterium
Lineage: Bacteria
Description: bacterial SSU rRNA
Rfam family: Bacterial small subunit ribosomal RNA
Source: RNAcentral
AUACGUAGGGUGCAAGCGUUAUCCGGAAUUAUUGGGCGUAAAGGGCUCGUAGGCGGUUCGUCGCGUCCGGUGUGAAAGUCCAUCGCUUAACGGUGGAUCUGCGCCGGGUACGGGCGGGCUGGAGUGCGGUAGGGGAGACUGGAAUUCCCGGUGUAACGGUGGAAUGUGUAGAUAUCGGGAAGAACACCAAUGGCGAAGGCAGGUCUCUGGGCCGUUACUGACGCUGAGGAGCGAAAGCGUGGGGAGCGAACAGGAUUAGAUACCCUGGUAGUCCACGCCGUAAACGGUGGAUGCUGGAUGUGGGGCCCGUUCCACGGGUUCCGUGUCGGAGCUAACGCGUUAAGCAUCCCGCCUGGGGAGUACGGCCGCAAGGCUAAAACUCAAAGAAACUGACGGGGGCCCGCACAAGCGGCGGAGCAUGCGGAUUAAUUCGAUGCAACGCGAAGAACCUUACCUGGGCUUGACAUGUUCCCGACCGCGGCAGAGAUGUCGUUUCCCUUCGGGGCGGGUUCACAGGUGGUGCAUGGUCGUCGUCAGCUCGUGUCGUGAGAUGUUGGGUUAAGUCCCGCAACGAGCGCAACCCUCGCCCUGUGUUGCCAGCACGUCAUGGUGGGAACUCACGGGGGACCGCCGGGGUCAACUCGGAGGAAGGUGGGGAUGACGUCAGAUCAUCAUGCCCCUUACGUCCAGGGCUUCACGCAUGCUACAAUGGCCGGUACAACGGGAUGCGACACGGCGACGUGGAGCGGAUCCCUGAAAACCGGUCUCAGUUCGGAUCGCAGUCUGCAACUCGACUGCGUGAAGGCGGAGUCGCUAGUAAUCGCGAAUCAGCAACGUCGCGGUGAAUGCGUUCCCGGGCCUUGUACACACCGCCCGUCAAGUCAUGAAAGUGGGCAGCACCCGAAGCCGGUGGCCUAACCCCUUGUGGGAUGGAGCCGUCUAAGGUGAGGCUCGUGAUUGGGACU